GAGGUCGACAUGGGAGAGUGCAGCUGCUGCUGCCGCCGAAGGAGCAACGCCCCGGAAACUCUCAGGCACCAGAACCGUGCCGGCCGC
Molecule: non-coding RNA, 87 nt
Filed under: Tateyamaria sp. ANG-S1
Lineage: Bacteria; Pseudomonadati; Pseudomonadota; Alphaproteobacteria; Rhodobacterales; Roseobacteraceae
Also listed under: 1 other name
Description: Glycine riboswitch aptamer
Rfam family: Glycine riboswitch aptamer
About the family: This family represents the bacterial glycine riboswitch.
Source: Rfam by way of RNAcentral